RNAcentral lists this transfer RNA (42 nucleotides) under Olearia covenyi. RNAcentral describes it as "partial tRNA-Leu". Lineage: Eukaryota; Viridiplantae; Streptophyta; Magnoliopsida; Asterales; Asteraceae. The record is from RNAcentral. RNAcentral also lists the same sequence under 1 other name.
UCGAUUUCAAAAAUCAUGAGGGUUCAAGUCCCUCUAUCCCCA